CUAAUCUUCAUCUUGCUUCUGUUUUCUAUUGUUUGAUCUUGAUCUUCCCUAUCUUUGGUCAACAUUUGUUGAUUAGUACAUACCAUUUCCAUUAAUGCACUUUAAUAUUCUUCAUCUUCUUCUUCUUCUUCUUUUCUUUUUUUGAUUAAUGAGUUAAAGAUUGGUGGUUAGCAUUGACACAUGGAGGUUUAAUCUUCCUUGAUUCAAAUCUAAUUCAUCUUGAUCAUGGAUCAAGUGAAUGGCUUUGCAUUAAGGAUAUAUUGCUUCCUAAAUCAUGCAAAGAACCUAAAUCAAUACAAGAUCAUUAAUCUUCCUUGAUUCAAAUCUAAUUCAUCUUGAUCAUGGAUCAAGUGAAUGGCUUUGCAUUAAGGAUAUAUUGCUUCCUAAAUCAUGCAAAGAACCUAAAUCAAUACAAGAUC
This 419-nucleotide long non-coding RNA is filed under the name Lathyrus oleraceus (garden pea). RNAcentral's name for it is "Pisum sativum (pea) long non-coding RNA (PSAT_LNC011077)". Lineage: Eukaryota; Viridiplantae; Streptophyta; Magnoliopsida; Fabales; Fabaceae. The record is from RNAcentral.